GAGGGUAUAGCUCAGUGGUAGAGUGCGGUGCUUGGCAUGCAUGGGGUCCUGGAUUCAGUCCCCAGUACCAGCA
This 73-nucleotide transfer RNA is filed under the name Camelus bactrianus (Bactrian camel). It matches the Rfam family "tRNA". From Rfam's summary of the family: Transfer RNA (tRNA) molecules are approximately 80 nucleotides in length. RNAcentral also lists the same sequence under 2 other names. Lineage: Eukaryota; Metazoa; Chordata; Mammalia; Artiodactyla; Camelidae. The record is from Rfam by way of RNAcentral.